GUUCGAUACCUGCGUUUCUUAUGAUGAGCAUUGUGGCAAGAAUGGAAGGUUAUAUGGAGCGAUUGAUACGCUAAAUAAAGCGUUUUUAAACAUGAAAAAUGAUUUGUUUUCUACUUUUGAGUUUCAGGACGGUGGUUAAAUCGAAUCUUUUUGACAGAUUUUGAGGUUUAGCUUCAAGUAGACGUAUGAAAUAUACAUACAAGUUACUUACUCGUACUGCGCAUUUACUGGUCAAAAUCCAGAAGGUGUUCAUCAAAGGUGCUAUAACAAAUAAACCUGAACGAAACAAUGUUUUCCCUUUGCGCCAAAAAUGCUUUGCUAGCAACAUAUUAAAAAGAAAGAG
RNAcentral lists this unclassified non-coding RNA (343 nucleotides) under Bombus terrestris (buff-tailed bumblebee). Its description in RNAcentral is "misc RNA ENSBTSG00005029848.1". The record is from RNAcentral. Lineage: Eukaryota; Metazoa; Arthropoda; Insecta; Hymenoptera; Apidae.